GCCAAGGGUUCUGUGGAACUCAGGAUGUGCACCUGGAUUAACUCAGAAGGAAUUUCCCAGGGUAAAUGGGACAUCGCAGAUUGAUAUCAGCUGGUUCUCUUCAUUGCCUCCUCCAGAAUCUCCAGUUCCCUGAUGAGUUAGAGAUAAACAACUCAUGUGAUGUCAACUAAAAUUUGCUAUCGUUUUCUGGGCUCUGUUGAGUAACCAGCCUCACUUUUUGAUGAGAACCAAGAAACCUGAGCAUUGUAUAAAAAUAAAAUAUAAAUUCCACUGAAAUACAAGCAAGUUAUCCUUCAUUCACAGGCUAAAUUUGCUUUGGAGAAGUGAAUGGGUUAAAGUCAAGACUGAAUGACCUGGAAUGCAUCUUUUUGAAGGAAAUGGAGCUGUGCAUGUAGAGGAGAAUGAAAAUAAGGGGAAGUUACAAGACAAAGAAAUCCAAGACUACUGACAGAUCAAGAGGUUUCACAUUUCAGAUCCUUUCAGCAUUCAGCAAAUGCAAUAAAUAUCAGAGGUGGCCUGUGUUGAAUGUAAGAACAGAUGUUGUUUCUGCAGGAAGCAGGAUGGAAACUUACACCCACUGGCUUGCUGCAACUUUGAGGAGACUUUCUUCUAUACCUUCCUCUAAAUGUGACUUGAAACCUUCCGCCGUGAUAUUUUAAUAAACUUUCUAUAUCUU
This is a long non-coding RNA of Pan troglodytes (chimpanzee), 676 nucleotides long. RefSeq lists it as uncharacterized. The transcript is spliced from 4 exons. NCBI's taxonomy places the organism in Eukaryota, Metazoa, Chordata, Mammalia, Primates, Hominidae. The record is from RefSeq and is a predicted model, not a curated record.